UAUCUCUAGAGAUACGGAAGCGCCCUUCGGGGCUUAAUAGGGAAUCCCGUUCAAAUCGGGAGCGGACCCGCCGCCGUGCGCCGAACUGAUGCCGCUUUUCCUUGCGCGCCACUGGAUUCGCUCCGGGAAGGCCGAAAAGCGAGCCGGCAAGCCGGAAGACCUGCUUUCAUUCAUCGUCUUUG
This 182-nucleotide non-coding RNA is filed under the name Desulfovibrio sp. The record is from RNAcentral. RNAcentral also lists the same sequence under 1 other name. Lineage: Bacteria; Pseudomonadati; Thermodesulfobacteriota; Desulfovibrionia; Desulfovibrionales; Desulfovibrionaceae.